GUGUGAUCACGUUUUUCAUCCUGAGUGUAUUGAUGCUUGGUUGGAAUCACAUGAUACUUGCCCUGUUUGCCGUGCUGAUCUCAACCCUCAACCGGAUGAACCGCCGGUUCAAGUUCCAGAAGAUGAACCGGCAACGGAACAGCAACAGCAACAGCAAAACGAUGAAGUUUCAAUUCGCAUAGUGAGCGACGACGAACAAAGGGAACAAGUACAGCAACAGCAACAAGAAGAAGGUUCUGUUAAUUCGACGGUGAAGCGGAAUUUGAGCUUCAACGUGCCGAACCGGGUUCCCAAGCAAGAAGAAGGCGGUUCAGUUAAAUCAGGAGUAAAGAGAAACUUGAGUUUCAACGUGCCGAUUCAACCACCGAGAUCAAUUUCCAUGAGGCCAAAGAUGUUCAGCAAAUUCAGAUCACAUUCAACCGGUCAUUCACUAGUACUACCAGGUGAGAAUUUAGACCGGUACACUCUCAGAUUGCCGGAGGGCGUUCGGAAAGAGGUAAUGAACCGUGCACUAUUGAACCGGGCUAAAAGCUUUGGAGGCACCUUACCAAGAGAUACAAGCUCCAGAAAAGGAUACAGAACCGGUACCGGAGAUGGAAGCAACCGGGGUUCUAGAUCUAACAAAAGGAUGGAGUGGUCUGAACCGGAACCGAAAUCGGACCGGUGGAUUUUCACCAUGACACCACCAUUCUUUUCAAGAGGUUCAUCAAUGAAAUCACCCAGAGUUGGAGCUGAAGCCGGCGAGGGUUCCACCUCAGGGAGUAUGAGAACCGCCGUCAAAUUGCCGUCGUUUAAAUGCUUGGAACCAAAAGGCGAUGAAGCCUCAUUGAUGUCGACUGACUCGGCUCGACCGCCGGUUUAAUAAUCCGGUUCGAAGUCAAACCGUAAUGAUUCGCAAAGACUUUUCAUGGGCUAUAGGAAAGGGGAACGUGUUUUUCAUGAUAGAUUGGGCCCCCGCUUUGAAUUAACAAGCCCAAACUUGACUCUAAAUUUAUUUUUUCGAGAAAAGCAUUUUUGUUUUUAUUUUUUUGUUAUAUAAUUGAAAAAUCUUUAAGUUUUUCCUUUUUCUCGUUUUAAAGAUAUAGUGCAUAUCAAUAGUUGAUGUAAGUGUAACCAAAAAAUCACUUGUAAUUUUAUUUAUUUUUCCUUAUUGGAUAAUGUCCUAUGAUGAUGUAAGUAUGUGUAUUUCAAUUUUUGGUGAAACAGAAAUGUAAAGGAAAAAGUAGAGGUUUCGAU
This 1236-nucleotide unclassified non-coding RNA is filed under the name Hevea brasiliensis (rubber tree). The record is from RNAcentral. Lineage: Eukaryota; Viridiplantae; Streptophyta; Magnoliopsida; Malpighiales; Euphorbiaceae.